This 253-nucleotide ribosomal RNA is filed under the name uncultured bacterium. Its description in RNAcentral is "partial 16S ribosomal RNA". It matches the Rfam family "Bacterial small subunit ribosomal RNA", at positions 524 to 776 of the family's 1533-position model. The record is from RNAcentral.
UACGUAGGGUGCGAGCGUUAAUCGGAAUUACUGGGCGUAAAGCGUGCGUAGGCGGUUCGUUAAGUCAGCUGUGAAAGCCCCGGGCUCAACCUGGGAACUGCGGUUGAAACUGGCGAACUAGAAUCUGGCAGAGGGGAGUGGAAUUCCACGUGUAGCAGUGAAAUGCGUAGAGAUGUGGAGGAACACCGAUGGCGAAGGCAGCCCCCUGGGCUGAGAUUGACGCUCAGGCACGAAAGCGUGGGGAGCAAACAGG